AUCUAUGGCCAUGCCACACUGAACAUGCCCGAUCUUGUCUGAUCUCAGAAGCUAAGUAGGGUCGGGCCUGGUUAGUACUUGGAUGGGAGACCACCUAGGAAUACCAGGUGCUGUAGGCA
RNAcentral lists this ribosomal RNA (119 nucleotides) under Pteropus alecto (black flying fox). RNAcentral also lists the same sequence under 1 other name. Lineage: Eukaryota; Metazoa; Chordata; Mammalia; Chiroptera; Pteropodidae. The record is from RNAcentral.